AAAGAUUAAGCCAUGCAUGUCUAAGUAUAAGCAAUUAUACCGCGAAACUGCGAAUGGCUCAUUAUAUAAGUUAUCGUUUAUUUGAUAGCACAUUACUACAUGGAUAACUGUGGUAAUUCUAGAGCUAAUACAUGCUAAAAAUCCCGACUUCGGAAGGGAUGUAUUUAUUAGAUUAAAAGCCAACGCCCUUCGGGGCUUCGUGGUGAUUCAUGAUAACUUUUCGAAUCGCAUGGCCUUGCGCCGGCGAUGGUUCAUUCAAAUUUCUUCCCUAUCAACUUUCGAUGCGAAGGUCUUGUCUUCGCAUGGUUG
This 309-nucleotide ribosomal RNA is filed under the name uncultured fungus. Its description in RNAcentral is "SSU rRNA". It matches the Rfam family "Eukaryotic small subunit ribosomal RNA", at positions 39 to 352 of the family's 1831-position model. The record is from RNAcentral. Lineage: Eukaryota; Fungi.